RNAcentral lists this ribosomal RNA (800 nucleotides) under marine metagenome. Its description in RNAcentral is "bacterial SSU rRNA". It matches the Rfam family "Bacterial small subunit ribosomal RNA", at positions 556 to 1357 of the family's 1533-position model. The record is from RNAcentral.
GGGCUUAAAGAGUUCGUAGGUGGUUAAAAAAGUUGGUGGUGAAAUCCCAGAGCUUAACUCUGGAACUGCCAUCAAAACUUUUUAGCUAGAGUUUGAUAGAGGAAAGCAGAAUUUCUAGUGUAGAGGUGAAAUUCGUAGAUAUUAGAAAGAAUACCGAUUGCGAAGGCAGCUUUCUGGAUCAUUACUGACACUGAGGAACGAAAGCAUGGGUAGCGAAGAGGAUUAGAUACCCUCGUAGUCCAUGCCGUAAACGAUGUGUGUUAGAUGUUGGAAAUUUAUUUUCAGUAUCGCAGCGAAAGCGUUAAACACACCGCCUGGGGAGUACGACCGCAAGGUUAAAACUCAAAUGAAUUGACGGGGACCCGCACAAGUAGUGGAGCAUGUGGUUUAAUUCGAAGAUACGCGCAGAACCUUACCAACACUUGACAUGUUUGUCGCGACUUUAAGAGAUUAAAGUCUUCGGUUCGGCCGGACAAAACACAGGUGCUGCAUGGCUGUCGUCAGCUCGUGUCGUGAGAUGUUGGGUUAAGUCCCGCAACGAGCGCAACCCUCACUUUUAGUUGCCAUCAUUUAGUUGGGCACUCUGAAAGAACUGCCAGUGAUAAGCUGGAGGAAGGUGGGGAUGACGUCAAGUCCUCAUGGCCCUUACGUGUUGGGCUACACACGUGCUACAAUGGCAUUUACAAUAGGAAGCAAAACGGCGACGUUGAGCAAAUCCUAAAAAAAUGCCUCAGUUCGGAUUGUACUCUGCAACUCGAGUACAUGAAGCUGGAAUUACUAGUAAUCGCGGAUCAGCGCGC